Chelonus insularis is the source of this 1540-nucleotide long non-coding RNA. RefSeq lists it as uncharacterized. The record is from RefSeq and is a predicted model, not a curated record. Lineage: Eukaryota; Metazoa; Arthropoda; Insecta; Hymenoptera; Braconidae. The transcript has 4 exons.
CCUGUCAAAAUUAAUAAGUUAACAAUUAAGGUUAUAAAAAUGAAUCAUCAUCCAUAUAAACCCACAUUGGAAAGCCAAAAUUAACUCCUACAUAUCAAAGGAUCAAGUGUAAACAAUCUAGCAAGUUUUAGAUGAAUACAAAUCAAGAUUUUAUGGUCGUAGAAACUACAAUAUAAAACAUAUUAUUCCAUAUAUAUAGAAAAUCCUUGAGAAUGCCUUAAAAUCUUUCAUGUAAUUUUCUCUGGUAUUUAUGCUGAAGAGUAUUAUUUGCGAUUGGAGCCAGCAGUACAGGAGGUUGUCAUUAAUCAUCUUAAUCGCACUAGUAGUCUGCAGAUCUGAACAUCCGCACGUUAUCUCGUAGCAAAUUUAACUGAUUUAGUCAAUUGUCUUGGAAAAAAAGAAGCCUAAUUAAUGCACCUGCUUAGGUUUCAAUAGUUUGAUACCAGCUGGCUUACGGUUCUUUUUCUAUACUUUAUCAAAAAAACAAGGUUUCAAUAUAUAUCCAUUUUUAAUAAUUAUCCUCAAUUCGCAAAACCUAGCAAGUUUGCAGGUUUAUUUUAUUUGAAGAGGAGGAAAGUCAAUACAUGAGUCAUCACGACGCGACGAACACACCCUCUUGGAGGAUUGCGAAAGUGUAAUAUGGAUGAGUUCACUAAAAACAUCACAAAUGAAAGAAAAAAGCUAAGUAAGCAAAGGGUAAAUGACUAUUAAAAUAAAUGAGUUAUCCAUCAUGAAAGGCGUUUAAAUUGCUAGAUUAUACCAGCAGCAAGUGGGAUGAAUGAUUUGUCGACAAGCACGUAGGUAAAAUGUCUAGUAGAACGCGUGCUAUGUAAUGUGAGGGGCUAUAUGCUGUAUGGUAGAUGUGAACUUCUGUAUGUAUACUCCGAGUUACGCUUUAUUAUCAAUACAUGUCUGCAAGCCAGGGUAGCAGGCGUGGCUGCUCCUUGCAGUGCCAUAUCUCGUCGUUACCUUGUAUGGAUCAGACAUAUUACAUGACUCUGUGAAAAAAUCAUUCGUGCACGUUUUUCAUUCAGUAUGAGUGUGUACAUGCACUACUUUGAUUUUGCCUGACACUCAAGCCUCAACUAGUCCAUAAUAUGAUAGAAUUGCGAUGACAGAAUUAUGAAAAACUUACGACAACAUUGAAAAUACAUCGUCACUGGGUGCGUUAAGUAAUUAAAAAUGAGAAAUUUAAUUAAUUAAAUUAUAUAAAUUCAUUUCGGAGCAGGAAAUUAAUUACACUCGAAGAGAAAUAACAGAAAGAAGGGACAAAUUUCUCAGUCAGCUGGAGAAUGGUCACAAUAAUAGAGGAAUGAAAUUGAAGGCAUCGGAUGAAAAUGAGACUCGGUGACACGCUCGAUUUAAUGUCUCCUAUGUUUAUUAUUCCUCAUUUGGUCACUUAGACGUACGUGUAUAAGUUUGUAAAUCAGCGAAUGACAUCAUGUCUACUUUCAGUCUCUUCAAUUGCAAUCUUGUUUUCAAUUAGUACAAAAAAUUGCUCUCGCGAGUACUUGAACUCAAUCUUCAUGUCUGAAGACAU